CCUACGGGGGGCUGCAGUGGGGAAUAUUGGACAAUGGGCGAAAGCCUGAUCCAGCCAUGCCGCGUGUGUGAAGAAGGCCUUCGGGUUGUAAAGCACUUUCAGUGGGGAAGAAAGCCUUGGGGCUAAUACCCUCGAGGAAGGACAUCACCCACAGAAGAAGCACCGGCUAACUCCGUGCCAGCAGCCGCGGUAAUACGGAGGGUGCGAGCGUUAAUCGGAAUUACUGGGCGUAAAGCGCGCGUAGGCGGUCUGAUAAGCCGGUUGUGAAAGCCCCGGGCUCAACCUGGGAACGGCAUCCGGAACUGUCAGGCUAGAGUGCAGGAGAGGAAGGUAGAAUUCCCGGUGUAGCGGUGAAAUGCGUAGAGAUCGGGAGGAAUACCAGUGGCGAAGGCGGCCUUCUGGACUGACACUGACGCUGAGGUGCGAAAGCGUGGGUAGCAAACAGGAUUAGAUACCCUAGUAGUC
This 465-nucleotide ribosomal RNA is filed under the name Vreelandella stevensii. Its description in RNAcentral is "partial 16S ribosomal RNA". It matches the Rfam family "Bacterial small subunit ribosomal RNA", at positions 338 to 795 of the family's 1533-position model. Lineage: Bacteria; Pseudomonadati; Pseudomonadota; Gammaproteobacteria; Oceanospirillales; Halomonadaceae. The record is from RNAcentral.